UAAUACGUAGGUGGCAAGCGUUGUCCGGAAUUAUUGGGCGUAAAGCGCGCGCAGGCGGCUAUGUAAGUCUGAUGUUAAAGCCCGAGGCUCAACCUCGGUUCGCAUUGGAAACUGUGUAGCUUGAGUGCAGAAGAGGAAAGCGGUAUUCCACGUGUAGCGGUGAAAUGCGUAGAGACGUGGAGGAACACCAGUGGCGAAGGCGGCUUUCUGGUCUGUAACUGACGCUGAGGCGCGAAAGCGUGGGGAGCAAACAGGA
RNAcentral lists this ribosomal RNA (256 nucleotides) under uncultured prokaryote. RNAcentral's name for it is "partial 16S ribosomal RNA". It matches the Rfam family "Bacterial small subunit ribosomal RNA", at positions 521 to 777 of the family's 1533-position model. The record is from RNAcentral.